Molecule: ribosomal RNA, 113 nt
Filed under: Hydrogenophilaceae bacterium CG1_02_62_390
Lineage: Bacteria; Pseudomonadati; Pseudomonadota; Hydrogenophilia; Hydrogenophilales; Hydrogenophilaceae
Source: RNAcentral
UCUGGCGACCAUAGCAGAGUGGAACCACCCCUUCCCUUCCCGAACAGGACCGUGAAACGCUCUCGCGCCGAUGAUAGUGCACUUCCGUGCGUGAAAGUAGGUCAUCGCCAGAC